AUUGAGCGCUGGCGGCAGGCUUAACACAUGCAAGUCGAGCGGGGUGAUGGUGCUUGCACUAUCACUUAGCGGCGGACGGGUGAGUAAUGCUUAGGAAUCUGCCUAUUAGUGGGGGACAACACCUCGAAAGGGAUGCUAAUACCGCAUACGUCCUACGGGAGAAAGCAGGGGAUCUUCGGACCUUGCGCUAAUAGAUGAGCCUAAGUCGGAUUAGCUAGUUGGUGGGGUAAAGGCCUACCAAGGCGACGAUCUGUAGCGGGUCUGAGAGGAUGAUCCGCCACACUGGGACUGAGACACGGCCCAGACUCCUACGGGAGGCAGCAGUGGGGAAUAUUGGACAAUGGGGGAACCCUGAUCCAGCCAUGCCGCGUGUGUGAAGAAGGCCUUAUGGUUGUAAAGCACUUUAAGCGAGGAGGAGGCUACUUUAGUUAAUACCUAGAGAUAGUGGACGUUACUCGCAGAAUAAGCAUCGGCUAACUCUGUGCCAGCAGCCGCGGUAA
Molecule: ribosomal RNA, 500 nt
Filed under: uncultured bacterium
Lineage: Bacteria
Description: partial 16S ribosomal RNA
Rfam family: Bacterial small subunit ribosomal RNA
Source: RNAcentral